GAAAGCGAUGCUAAUACCGAAUAAUAUCUCAUUUACUCGGUUUUUUGAGAUCAAAGGUGGCCUCUCCAUGGAAGCUUCUGUUUGGAGAUGAGCCCGCGUACCAUUAGCUUGUUGGUAGGGUAAUGGCCUACCAAGGCAACGAUGGUUAGCUGGUCUGAGAGGAUGAUCAGCCACACUGGAACUGACACACGGUCCAGACUCCUACGGGAGGCAGCAGUGAGGAAUUUUGCGCAAUGGGGGAAACCCUGACGCAGCAACGCCGCGUGAGUGAUGAAGGCCUUCGGGUCGUAAAGCUCUGUCAAGUGGGAAGAACCUGCCUUUUGCUAAUAUCAAUUGGCACUGACGGUACCACUNGAAGGAAGCACCGGCUAACUCCGUG
RNAcentral lists this ribosomal RNA (379 nucleotides) under uncultured bacterium. Its description in RNAcentral is "bacterial SSU rRNA". It matches the Rfam family "Bacterial small subunit ribosomal RNA", at positions 153 to 507 of the family's 1533-position model. The record is from RNAcentral.